This 468-nucleotide ribosomal RNA is filed under the name uncultured bacterium. RNAcentral's name for it is "partial 16S ribosomal RNA". It matches the Rfam family "Bacterial small subunit ribosomal RNA", at positions 28 to 507 of the family's 1533-position model. The record is from RNAcentral.
GACGAACGCUGGCGGCGUGCUUAACACAUGCAAGUCGAACGGAAAGGCCCUGCUUUUGUGGGGUGCUCGAGUGGCGAACGGGUGAGUAACACGUGAGUAACCUGCCCUUGACUUUGGGAUAACUUCAGGAAACUGGGGCUAAUACCGGAUAGGAGCUCCUGCUGCAUGGUGGGGGUUGGAAAGUUUCGGCGGUUGGGGAUGGACUCGCGGCUUAUCAGCUUGUUGGUGGGGUAGUGGCUUACCAAGGCUUUGACGGGUAGCCGGCCUGAGAGGGUGACCGGCCACAUGGGGACUGAGAGACGGCCCAGACUCCUACGGGAGGCAGCAGGGGAGAAUAUUGCACAAUGGGCGGAAGCCUGAUGCAGCAACGCCGCGUGCGGGAUGACGGCCUUCGGGUUAUAAACCGCUUUCGACUGUGACGAAGAGUGAGUGACGGUAAUGGGUAAAGAAGCACCGGCUAACUACGUG